ACACGUAGGGGCCUGACGUUGUUCGGAAUCAUUGGGCGUAAAGGGCGCGCAGGCGGCCGUCCAAGUCCGGUGUUAAAUGGUCGGGCUCAACCCGAUCAUGCGCUGGAAACUGGGCGGCUGGAGUCCCGGAGGGGAUGCCGGAAUUCCAGGUGUAGGGGGGAAAUCUGUAGAUAUCUGGAAGAACACCGAUGGCGAAGGCAGGCAUCUGGCCGGAGACUGACGCUGAGGCGCGAAGGCGCGGGGAGCGAACAGGUUUAGAUACCCUGGUAGUCCGCGCAGUAAACGAUGCGCACCAGGUGUCGGGCGGCAGCGCCCGGUACCGGAGCUAACGCGAUGAGUGCGCCGCCUGGGGAGUAUGCCCGCAAGGGUGAAACUUAAAGGAAUUGACGGGG
RNAcentral lists this ribosomal RNA (392 nucleotides) under uncultured bacterium. RNAcentral describes it as "partial 16S ribosomal RNA". It matches the Rfam family "Bacterial small subunit ribosomal RNA", at positions 523 to 918 of the family's 1533-position model. The record is from RNAcentral.